RNAcentral lists this ribosomal RNA (253 nucleotides) under uncultured bacterium. RNAcentral describes it as "partial 16S ribosomal RNA". It matches the Rfam family "Bacterial small subunit ribosomal RNA", at positions 524 to 776 of the family's 1533-position model. The record is from RNAcentral.
GACAGAGGGUGCAAACGUUGCUCGGAAUCACUGGGCGUAAAGCGCGUGUAGGCGGACCAGAAAGUCAGGUGUGAAAUCCCUGGGCUCAACCCAGGAACUGCAUCUGAAACUUCUGGUCUGGAGUGUCGGAGAGGGAAGCGGAAUUCCGGGUGUAGAGGUGAAAUUCGUAGAUAUCCGGAGGAACACCGGUGGCGAAGGCGGCUUCCUGGACGAUUACUGACGCUGAGACGCGAAAGCGUGGGGAGCAAACAGG